CGUGUGGUACUUUGUUGAGUGAAAUGAUUCUCUCAAACAAAGCAGCGAUGCGGCCCAAUAGAGGU
Molecule: non-coding RNA, 65 nt
Filed under: unclassified sequences
Description: L31-Gammaproteobacteria ribosomal protein leader
Rfam family: L31-Gammaproteobacteria ribosomal protein leader
Source: RNAcentral